GACGAACGCUGGCGGCGUGCUUAACACAUGCAAGUCGAACGGAAAGGCCCUGCUUUUGUGGGGUGCUCGAGUGGCGAACGGGUGAGUAACACGUGAGUAACCUGCCCUUGACUUUGGGAUAACUUCAGGAAACUGGGGCUAAUACCGGAUAGGAGCUCCUGCUGCAUGGUGGGGGUGGGAAAGUUUCGGCGGUUGGGGAUGGACUCGCGGCUUAUCAGCUUGUUGGUGGGGUAGUGGCUUACCAAGGCUUUGACGGGUAGCCGGCCUGAGAGGGUGACCGGCCACAUUGGGACUGAGAUACGGCCCAGACUCCUACGGGAGGCAGCAGUGGGGAAUAUUGCACAAUGGGCGGAAGCCUGAUGCAGCAACGCCGCGUGCGGGAUGACGGCCUUCGGGUUGUAAACCGCUUUCGCCUGUGACGAAGCGUGAGUGACGGUAAUGUGUAAAGAAGCACCGGCUAACUACGUG
Molecule: ribosomal RNA, 468 nt
Filed under: uncultured bacterium
Lineage: Bacteria
Description: partial 16S ribosomal RNA
Rfam family: Bacterial small subunit ribosomal RNA
Source: RNAcentral